GCUGCUGCGAUGGCUGUGGCUUAAUUAUCGUGGUUUAUGCUUCUGACUGGAAGUUGACUUCUAGGUCCAAAGCCUAGAACGACAGUACUAGUAGUUUAAGACUACAGAAAUGAUGUUAGACAAAAAGCAAAUUUGAGCUAUUUUCUUAUUUGAGUUCAAAAUGGGUCGUAAAGCAAUGAAGACAACUUGCAGCAUCAACAACGCGCUUGGCCCGGGAGCUGUUGAUGGAUGUACAGUGCAGUGGUGGUUCCCAAACCUUUGCAAAGGAGACGAGAGCCUUGAAGAUGAGGAGCGUAGUGGCCGGCCAUCCGAAGUCGACAGGACCACGGAGAGCCAUCAUCAGAGCUGAUCUUACAAGUACAGAAGAAGUGGCAGAAUAAUUCCGUGCUGACCAUUCUACUGUCAUUUGACCAUUGAAGAAAAUUGGAAAGGUGACAAAAUUCGCUAAAUCUGGAGGCUGGGUGCUGGCGGGUCUAUUUUCUGUUGAAGACUGUCCUCUGCUUUCGGGAUGGCGCCUUGCUGCUGUGUCCGCUGUAGCUGCAGCUGGAUGAUGAGACAGAAGGAAGGGAGUCACCUCGGCAAGCCCUUUUCUAAGGUGGUUCCCUGGAAGACUCACUUGCAAGACUGUCUUUGUUUCACCAGAGAUGAGCUCAACCAGUUCAAAAAGUCUUUUCCCCAGGAUGAACUUAACUUCAGUUCCUGCAGACAGCUGUGGAUUUCUGCCUCCUCCGAGUAUACCUCUUCAUCUGGAUCUGAUGUCUGCACCACCACUCAGCAGCAGAGGGUACGAUACUGGCCAACAUGUCCUAGAGUGACAUCUCUGCCAUGUGACUGUGUACUGGGAUUCAGUACAGUAGAGUUCUGUAUUCUGGAAAGAAAUCCCAGAAGUCAAGUGCCCUGUUAUCUCAUCAAGAGUCCAUACUACGAACAUGAACUGUCACUGCUGAUGUGGGCCGGAAUCACCUACCUGAAGUGUUUAUGUUUCUUCAUUGUACAAUUGCUACUUGUAAUCCUUUUUUAUACUGUGCUACUUGGAAGGAAAUCACUAUGUGCAGCCAACACUUAAGAAAUGAGAAGGAUCAGCUGGGCAUAAGUCCUUCUAGCUUCUUCGUUUUUCUUAUUCAUAAUCUCCCAUCCUGACAAAAUCCACUAUCUACAUAGUUCAAAUUUCAGCAUCAUGUAUAGUACAUGUAUAUAUUGUAUUGUUAAUCUGUAUUCUUUUAGAGAACAACUUGAUCCAUUAGAGUUGCGCAAUUUCUUAUGUCUUUCUCUUCUAUUUUCAUUUCACUCAUUUUCAAAGUUACUUAGCUCACUAACUUUUUCUCUUUUACAAUAUAGAUUUUUUUUUGUCACAUUAUGUAUUCCCUCCACUGACUGAUUCCCUGGAUGGUUUUUCUUCAUUUUCAUACAUUAAGAUCCACUCUUUAUGGUGUAAAGUGUAUGGAUCUCGAUAAAUACUUAGCAUGUACCCACCAUUAACAAACCACGCACUGUAGUUUCUCUGCCUUAAAAAUUCCUAGUGUUUUCCCUCUUCGACCUUCUUUCUCCUCAUACCUGUGGCAACCAGUAAGCAUUUACAGUCUCUAUCAUUUUACCGCUACACAAGUAUGCAGUAUUACAUCACACAGUAUGCAGCCUCUUUAGACUGGCUUCUUUAAUUUAGUGCUAAUAAAUGAGCCAAAGAGGACCUCUGUGAAUUGGCUCCUAGGUUAUUCACUGCUCGGUGAGAUCCUUUUCAAAACCCAUGGCUACCAAACUCAAACUUUGACACAUUCAGUGUUUUUAAAAGAACGUAUCUAAGCAGAUUUUUAGCUUUAUACAGCCUGCCUGCAUUUUAUACCCCAUGAAAUCUCACCCAACAUCUGUUACCUAUCAAUAACAUAAUACUUGUAGUCAUAAAGCCCCAACCUGCUGGUGUUCUUUGGAAAUUCUCAGCCAUACUGUGGUGUGACCUCACUUGGACACAUUAGGCCCUCUCUGGCCCCCCUCUUCCCUGGGAUUUUCUUUGCUCCUCUGCCUCUGUGAAGACUGGCCCCUUCACCAUGAGUUUCUGGAAAGUAUCAUAGUAUGAGCGAUUUCAUCUCUCAUGAAGUACCACCACCACCUGAUAAAGUUUAUUGUGUGCCACUGCCUGUUAGAAUUUUGUAUUUUUCCUCGAUCAAAAAUCUCAUGAGCCCCAUACACUGAGCAAUAAAUAUUUACAAUUCAUCCAUGUCUUUUUGUGGCUUGAUAUCUAAUUUCCUUAUAAUGCGCUUUUAUUCUUAGUGUUGUUCUAAGGCUUGUGUACACUUUAACUUAUCAAAUAUGAAUAUCAAAAUUCAUAUUUAUAUGAAGUUAUGUUCAAUGAUAUUCAGGUGUGUUAUUCCUAUAUUGCUCAAUUUCCCUU
Callithrix jacchus (white-tufted-ear marmoset) is the source of this 2386-nucleotide long non-coding RNA. NCBI's taxonomy places the organism in Eukaryota, Metazoa, Chordata, Mammalia, Primates, Cebidae. The record is from Ensembl.